Small nucleolar RNA from Oryza sativa Japonica Group (Japanese rice), 139 nucleotides. It matches the Rfam family "Small nucleolar RNA Z247". From Rfam's summary of the family: Z247 is a member of the C/D class of snoRNA which contain the C (UGAUGA) and D (CUGA) box motifs. Most of the members of the box C/D family function in directing site-specific 2'-O-methylation of substrate RNAs. Lineage: Eukaryota; Viridiplantae; Streptophyta; Magnoliopsida; Poales; Poaceae. The record is from Rfam.
CCCCUCGUCGACGAAGAACUGAUGGGCUAUGUUUUGGUCGGCCUUGGUGAUGACUACGAACCGGUGGUCUCCAGUUUGGUAGGCAAACACGAACCAGUUUCAAUUUUUGAAGUUUACUCACAACUUCUCAGUUUCGAGU